RNAcentral lists this ribosomal RNA (463 nucleotides) under Undibacterium sp. RNAcentral's name for it is "bacterial SSU rRNA". It matches the Rfam family "Bacterial small subunit ribosomal RNA", at positions 395 to 851 of the family's 1533-position model. Lineage: Bacteria; Pseudomonadati; Pseudomonadota; Betaproteobacteria; Burkholderiales; Oxalobacteraceae. The record is from RNAcentral.
UGCCGCGUGAGUGAAGAAGGCCUUCGGGUUGUAAAGCUCUUUUGUCAGGGAAGAAACGGUGAUCUCUAAUAUAGAUUGCUAAUGACGGUACCUGAAGAAUAAGCACCGGCUAACUACGUGCCAGCAGCCGCGGUAAUACGUAGGGUGCAAGCGUUAAUCGGAAUUACUGGGCGUAAAGCGUGCGCAGGCGGUUAUAUAAGUCAGAUGUGAAAUCCCCGGGCUCAACCUGGGAACUGCAUUUGAGACUGUAUGGCUAGAGUGUGUCAGAGGGGGGUAGAAUUCCACGUGUAGCAGUGAAAUGCGUAAAUAUGUGGAGGAAUACCGAUGGCGAAGGCAGCCCCCUGGGAUAACACUGACGCUCAUGCACGAAAGCGUGGGGAGCAAACAGGAUUAGAUACCCUGGUAGUCCACGCCCUAAACGAUGUCUACUAGUUGUUGGGUCUUAAUUGACUUAGUAACGCAG